RNAcentral lists this ribosomal RNA (253 nucleotides) under uncultured bacterium. Its description in RNAcentral is "partial 16S ribosomal RNA". It matches the Rfam family "Bacterial small subunit ribosomal RNA", at positions 524 to 776 of the family's 1533-position model. The record is from RNAcentral.
UACAGAGGGUGCGAGCGUUAAUCGGAAUCACUGGGCGUAAAGGGUGCGUAGGCGGCCGUGCAAGUCUGGCGUGAAAGCCCCGGGCUCAGCCCGGGAAGUGCGCUCGAAACUGCGCGGCUCGAGUGCCGGAGGGGAGAGUGGAAUUCCUGGUGUAGCGGUGAAAUGCGUAGAUAUCAGGAGGAAUACCGGUGGCGAAAGCGACUCUCUGGACGGCAACUGACGCUGAGGCACGAAAGCGUGGGGAGCAAACAGG